Molecule: transfer RNA, 77 nt
Filed under: Herbidospora galbida
Lineage: Bacteria; Bacillati; Actinomycetota; Actinomycetes; Streptosporangiales; Streptosporangiaceae
Description: Herbidospora sp. NEAU-GS14 tRNA-Thr
Rfam family: tRNA
About the family: Transfer RNA (tRNA) molecules are approximately 80 nucleotides in length. Their secondary structure includes four short double-helical elements and three loops (D, anti-codon, and T loops). Further hydrogen bonds mediate the characteristic L-shaped molecular structure. tRNAs have two regions of fundamental functional importance: the anti-codon, which is responsible for specific mRNA codon recognition, and the 3' end, to which the tRNAs corresponding amino acid is attached (by aminoacyl-tRNA synthetases). tRNAs cope with the degeneracy of the genetic code in two manners: having more than one tRNA (with a specific anti-codon) for a particular amino acid; and 'wobble' base-pairing, i.e. permitting non-standard base-pairing at the 3rd anti-codon position.
Source: RNAcentral
GCCGGGAUAGCUCAACUGGAUAGAGCAGCCGCCUUGUAAGCGGCAGGUUCGGGGUUCAAAUCCCCGUCCCGGCUCCA